This 1080-nucleotide long non-coding RNA is filed under the name Salmo salar (Atlantic salmon). RNAcentral describes it as "lncRNA (ENSSSAG00000086593.1, ENSSSAG00000089177.1)". Lineage: Eukaryota; Metazoa; Chordata; Actinopteri; Salmoniformes; Salmonidae. The record is from RNAcentral.
UUGGUGGGCAAAGGCCCAACUGCUUGGCUGCCAGGCCCAGCCAAUCAGAAUGAGUAUACUCCUCAGCCCUCCCCCAGACGAUCCAUCAGAUGAAGAAGCCGGAAGUGGAGGUCCUGGGUUGGCGUGGUAACUUGUGGUCUCUGCGGUUGUGAGGCCGGUUGGAUGUACUGCCAAAUUCUCUAAAACGACGUUGGAGGAGGCUUAUGGUAGAGAUAUUAACAUUUAAUUAUCUGUAAACAGCUCUGGUGGACAUUCCUGUAGUCAGCAUGGCAAUUGCGCACUCCCUCAAAACAUCAGACAUCUGUGGCAUUGUGUUGCGUGACAAAACUUCACAUUUAAGUGGUCUUUUAUUAUCCCCAGCACAAGGUGCACCUGUGUAAUGAUCAUGAUGUUUGUUUUUCUUCUUGAUGUGCCACACCUGUCAGGUGGAUGGAUUAUUUUGGCAAAGGAGUAAUGCUCACUAACAGGGAUGUAAACGAAUUUGUGCACAACAUUUUAGAGAAAUCAGCUUUUUAUGCGUAUGGAACAUUUCUGGGAUCUUUUAUUUCAGCUCAUGAAACAUGGGACCAACACUUUACAUUUUGUGUUUUAUAUUUUUGUUCGGUGUAUUUAGGGGAGUUGAAUUAGGGGGACCAUUCAAACAGCUGCUGAGAUCACCGAGGUGGUCGAUCGUUCGGGACACUGCCCUAGUCUAACAGGCAAUGCACUAUAGAGCCAUCAGGUCUUAACAGGCUAGUUUCCAUAGGCAUGACCAAUCUAGGCAUUUUAAUUCUAUGGUAGUCUCUGCCACUCCCCAGCCAAUAAAAUUAAACCAAAUGACAUGCCUAUGGUAGUCUCUGCCACUCCCCACCAAUCAAAUUAAACCAAAUGACAUGCCUAUGGUAGUCUCUGCCACGCCCCAGCCAAUCAAAUUAAACCAAAUGACAUGCCUAUGGUAGUCUCUGCCACGCCCCAGCCAAUCAAAUUAAACCAAAUGACAUGCCUAUGGUAGUCUCUGCCACUCCCCAGCCAAUCAAAUUAAACCAAAUGACAUGCCUAUGGUAGUCUCUGCCACUCCCCAGCCAAUCAAAUUAAACCAAA